Molecule: non-coding RNA, 206 nt
Organism: Cucurbita pepo subsp. pepo (vegetable marrow)
Lineage: Eukaryota; Viridiplantae; Streptophyta; Magnoliopsida; Cucurbitales; Cucurbitaceae
Source: RefSeq, a predicted model, not a curated record
AUGCCUCUCUCCACUCUCAGGUUUCUCGGCUACGAAGGCGUAGAAGUUAUAAAUCCAGAAGGAGGCAAAGAAGAUGCAGAAGAGGAAGCUCAGAGAGGAAGAUGGAAACAAGAGGAUCGCGAAAAUUACUGGAAGGUGAUGCACAAGUAUAUUGGUUCGGACGUCACAUCGAUGGUCACUCUUCCAGUAAUCAUCUUUGAACCAAU